Long non-coding RNA from Elgaria multicarinata webbii, 645 nucleotides. RefSeq lists it as uncharacterized. Lineage: Eukaryota; Metazoa; Chordata; Lepidosauria; Squamata; Anguidae. The transcript has 4 exons. The record is from RefSeq and is a predicted model, not a curated record.
CCACGCAUGCGGGAGAGCCUGCGCUGGGCGGGUCUCUGUUCCCAAACUCUGGUGGUGCCUGAGGCCGUUCCGAAAGGCAACGCGUUGUCGCUGUUGAGGAAAACGAAGGCGGAACAUACUGGCGAGGGCGAAAUUCUUUAAUAGAAGAUCAUCAUCAUCACAUCUUACUCAAGGAAAAGGUGGUUGCCAAUCAGCUCCAGACGCUGUUGGAUGAGACCGGUUAUCUGGAUCCAUUUCAUUCAAGGGUUCAGCCAGGUUUUGGUCUGGAAAUUACUUUGGUUGUCUUCUAUGAUGACCUGUGUUGGGAGAGAAACAAGGGGUGUAAAAGCCUCUGGUGUGAGAGGGGGCUGGAAAAGCCCUGUUGUGUAUGCAUGGAACUCCACAUCUAGCCCUUUGGAUCUUAGCCAUGGAUUGAAGAGAGUGGUGUGUAUUACAUGAUUUUAUGACUGCUUAGCAGAAGGGCAGCAUUUCAUAACAGAUUUAUAUUGAGAAUCAACUUUUUAAAGCUAGGACAGACUCAAAAAUGCAUAAGCAAUGCUUCGUCAAAUUACAUUCCACCAAAACGUGAGUGUGAUAGCAGAACGGGAUUGCCAAUGUUCAGGCAGUAGGCCAUUUAUAUUUCCAGUUGCAAAAGGCAAAAUUAGG